UUUCUUGAUUAGUGGCGCACGGGUGAGUAAUGCAUAGAUAAUGUGCCCUUAGUUCGGGAUAGCCACUGGAAACGGUGAUUAAUACCGGAUACUCCUUCUUGUUAUAAGACAAGUCGGGAAAGUUUUUCGCUAAGGGAUCAGUCUAUGUUCCAUCAGCUUGUUGGUGAGGUAAUGGCUCACCAAGGCUAUGACGGAUAUCUGGUUUGAGAGGAUGAUCAGACACACUGGAACUGAGACACGGUCCAGACUCCUACGGGAGGCAGCAGUGAGGAAUAUUGCACAAUGGAGGGAACUCUGAUGCAGCAACGCCGCGUGGAGGAUGACGCAUUUCGGUGUGUAAACUCCUUUUAUUAGGGAAGAUAAUGACGGUACCUAAUGAAUAAGCACCGGCUAACUCCGUGCCAGCAGCCGCGGUAAUACGGAGGGUGCAAGCGUUACUCGGAAUCACUGGGCGUAAAGGGUGCGUAGGCUGGCUUUUAAGUCAGAUGUGAAAUCCAAUGGCUCAACCAUUGAACUGCAUUUGAAACUGAAAGCCUAGAGUUCAGAAGGGGCAGAUGGAAUUAGUGGUGUAGGGGUAAAAUCCGUAGAUAUCACUAGGAAUAUCAAAAGCGAAGGCGAUCUGCUGGGAUGAUA
This 633-nucleotide ribosomal RNA is filed under the name uncultured bacterium. RNAcentral's name for it is "bacterial SSU rRNA". It matches the Rfam family "Bacterial small subunit ribosomal RNA", at positions 84 to 739 of the family's 1533-position model. The record is from RNAcentral.